UGCUCCCUACGGGGCGCAGCAGUGAGGAAUAUUGGUCAAUGGUCGGGAGACUGAACCGGCCAAGCCGCGUGAGGGAGGAAGGUACAGAGUAUCGUAAACCUCUUUUGUCAGGGAACAAAGACUGGGACGCGUCCCCGGAUGAGUGUACCUGAAGAAAAAGCAUCGGCUAACUCCGUGCCAGCAGCCGCGGUAAUACGGAGGAUGCGAGCGUUAUCCGGAUUUAUUGGGUUUAAAGGGUGCGCAGGCGGUCUGUUAAGUCAGCGGUCAAAGCCCGGGGCUCAACCCCGGCCCGCCGUUGAAACUGG
Molecule: ribosomal RNA, 305 nt
Filed under: uncultured bacterium
Lineage: Bacteria
Description: bacterial SSU rRNA
Rfam family: Bacterial small subunit ribosomal RNA
Source: RNAcentral